AGUGAGACGUUUUUGUUUUGUGCAGAGGUCGAUAGGCAACCACUGGAGGUUUUUAAGAAGGGGAGUGACAUGCCCAGAGUGUUUCUGCAGGAAGAUGAGCCAGGCAGCGGAAUGAAGAAUAGACUGGAGUCGGGCGAGAGAGGAGGAAGGGAGAUCAGAGAGAAGGCUGACACAGUAAUCUAACCGGGAUAGUACCAGAGCCCGUAGCAGUAAGGUAGCCGUUUGGGUGGAGAGGAAAGGACGCAUCUUGGCGAUAUUAUAAAGGUGAGACCGGUAGGCUUUGGUGACGGAUUGGAUUUGCCUUGGUCCCAACACUCCUUUGUGUAGGAAGAAUCACCACCAGUUGGUGCUGAGGUUCUCAGUGGCAUAUAAGGGUUCCACAUCUAACAUUGAACCUCAGGAGUUGCGGGUGGGGGAAGAGCUUAGUUUGUGCUGUUUGUUUUGUGUUGACAUCUCUGAACCUUGCACCGUUGUGUUUGUUAGAUGCCGCCAGUCUCCAAUCUCCCUCCAGGAAGCUGGCUUUUCCCCUGGUGGAUGUGUUCUCCCCAGGGAAUCCAUUGCUCUCCAAGGAAUGGGCAAUGGGUAGCAAAACAGGACCAGACAGGAUGCCCAGCCGUGCAUCGGACUCCUGUGAACAAACCCGGGAGGAGGCAGCGGAAGGGACCAGGAAGGAUGGUAGCCUCUCGCCUGGGUCCCCAUCCAAGCUGUCUGCUCCAUCACCUCCUGGUUCCCCACCCAGCUGGUCCGCUCCAUCGCCACCUGGGUCCCCAUCCAGACACUUUUCUCCAUCACCACCUGGGUGCCCACCCAGCUUGUCCACUCCAUCACCCCCUGGGUCCCCACCCAGGCAGAAGGCUCCAUCACCCCCCGGGUCCCCACCCGGCCAAUUCUGUCCAUCGCCUCCCGGGUCUCCACCCAGGCAGCGGGCUCCAUCACCCCCCGGUUCCCCAUCCAGGGAGUCCUCUCCAUCACCGCCUGGAUCCCCACCCACCCAAUUCCCUAUGUCAACCACGCAGCCCCCUGGAUCGCCACCUCUCCGGUCCCCUUCGCCCCCUACCCAGAAGCCUAUGCAGUCCCCAACAUCUCCUGCACAGCUGCAUACAUCCACGUCCCGGUGGCACCCGGUGGCACAGGCCCAGCCUCCCGGAUCUCCACCUCUACAGUCCCCUACAACCUCCGACCAGCUGCCCGGCUCACCACCCCUUGAUUUUCCUGGAUCGGCACCCAUGCAUUCCCCUGGCUCACCUCCAAUCUUGUCAGCGGUCGCAUCGUCUGCUCCACAGCCUCCCCUGGAGCCUCCGGUCACGUGCUCUCCCCAAGCCUCAGCUGCCCCUCAGCCCCGGAGGAUCUCCGUGUUCCUGGUCGGUCUGAAGAAGGCCAUCUCCAAGCCCUUUGUCACACUUCUGGACUCCCGGCAUUUCUCUGAGGACCCAAACCAGGCUAUAAAGUUCUUCCAAAGGCCCAGCCAAAAUCCCAGUGACAGCGGGAGCAGUUUGCCAGGACAUCAGAGAUCUAUGGGAACAAACAGAAGACAACAGUAACAGCCAAGGCCAAAAUGAAUCCUGAAGAAGACAAGGCGUCCUUUCCUGGCUCCUAACCUCGGCAUGGCUUUGGGUCCCGGGACCGACAGCUCCUCCCGCAGUGUGGACCCCCAUUCUGUGGACUCCCAACUUCUGCGAGUUGACACUUUAGUUACCCUGAGGCCUCAAGCAAACCUCUGGGGCAGAUGGGGCUGCAUCUCAGUUGCAGGAUGGUUAACUGUUUGCCAGGCAAGCCAGGGAUCUCGGAUGACACCAGUUCCUUGGCUUUGUAACCAAGAGAUUGGCUUUUUUUAACUUCCUAAGGAAAUCUUUUUAGAGGGACUAGAAAGGCCGGCCAGCGUGGCCAUUCCCUGGGAGCAGCACCGGCGAGAUUGGUGGGAAAAAGGAAAAGGGGGGCAGGAGCGGAAGGAGUUCUCUGACCCCUUCAGCCAGGCGCUACCAGGCACCUCUGCCACCGCACCAGGCUUGGCCACUCCCAGACACUCUCAACGCUCAGGGGCCCUUCAGGACUGAGUAAGCCCAGUUCUUGCACUGCCUUGUUCCCCUUCGUGGUGAUACCUCCUUGUUUUCUGCACUAUUGAGGUGGAGGAGGAGGCUGGGAAGAAAAAGGACCAAACCAAUAAGUUGUCUUUUCCCUAGCAGACUCACACUCCCACAUAUCCCAGCUUGUAGCAUGGUGGCUGGGAUGGGCGAAAGGAAAACUUCCUAGACACCCAGCAUAUCCCUGCUCUGGCCAGAGAGACUGGGGCAGACAUUACCCCUUCAACCAAGCCCUACAGGUUCAACCAUCCCUUCCCUUAUCUCCCACUUCCACUCCUUGCUGAGUGCCCCCGAUGCUACACUGGCAAAGCAAGGUCCCACCCAGCCAACCCAUCAAGCCCCACCCUCCCUUGAAAAUCUCUCUGGGAUCUCCAGAAGACUCUCUGGGGAUUUCAAGAGACAAUCUCUGGAAUCUCCUGGAGUCUCUCUGCAGGCUCUGGGAGUCUCUCUGGGGUGUCUGGGAGUCGCUCUAGGAUUUUCUGAGUCUCUCUGGGAUUUUCUGAGUCUGGUGUCUAUGGGAGCCCCUCUGGGGUCUCCGGAAGACUCUCUGGAGUCACUGGGAGUCCCUCUGGGGUCUCUGGGAGUCUCUCUAGAGUCUUCAGGAGUCUCUGUGAGAUCCUUGGGAAUCUCUCUGAAUUCUCCUGCAAUCUCUCUGCAGACAUCCACUAGCCCCAGAACCCCAGAGACCAGCCCCUGCACGCCAGGAGCAUUUGCUUAGCAAAUCACCUAACGUAACGUUAGAGCAAGUCAGAUGAAGGAAAACUACUGACUGCAAGGGUUGAGGACAGAGAGUCCCAUGGGGUCCUCAUUUGCAUGUGCAAAUUCUAGAAUGAACGCAGGGUAUGGAGGGAGAGAAGAGAAAGGUAGAGAAGAGGAAGAUAGAGAAAGUUGGAGGGCAAAAACAAUUUAAAGCAUGCAGACCUCCCCUGGGGGUUCCCCAGGGCAAAAUUCUCCCUCCUCACUUACCUCCAUGGACUCCAGUCUCUCCCCAGCACUAACAGGGCUAUAUUCAGCCUGGUCACUGGUAGCGGCUGUGCUCGGUAGGCAAGGGUUUAGGGGAUGCAGGGGCGGGGUUGGGGGAGCAGACAAUGUGGUCCAUCCAGCUGGGGGAGAAACUGUAAGCUCCUUGUGGGCAGGGAACGUGACUAACAAUUCUGUUGCACGGUACUUUCCCAAGUGCUUAGUACAGUGCUCUGCACACAGUAAGCAUUCAAUAAAUAUCAUUGAUUGGUUGAGCUUUGGGUGUCUUCCAAAUGCGGAGGGGCUGAGAAAGUUAGUCCUUGGGUCCAAAGGUUAAAGCCACACUGUAAAGAAGUCUUUAAAUGAGGCCUAUUUCAAAUGAGUCAUCCUACAGUAUUCAAGUACACUUUAAAGAUCUCUGAGGGGAAUGAUAUUUGCACUGGUUAUCUUCAGCUCACCUUCAUUGAGUUAGUUGAGUGAAACUGCAAUAUACUGAAUUUUAUAGUCCUCUUGUCUAGUUAUAAUUUAAAUCACCAAUCAUCCUAAAAACUGAUGACAUCAUAUGGGGUAAUAAGAAAUGUAAGGCAAGGGAAAACAGAAAGCUUCCAUCUUGAAAGUCUUGAAGUUGAUGACCGUCAGCCUUCAAAUUAGGGAGCAGCGCUGAUUAGCUCAUUGUGGGCAGCGAAUGUGUCUGCUUAUUGUUAUAUCGCACUCUCCCAAGCACUUAGUACAGUGCUUUGAACACAAUAAUUUUUAAUAAAUAAGAUUGAAUGGAAGAAAUCGCCCAUUAGAUUGCUUUGGUCCUAAUCACUGUUCACUCUGUGUGUUUUCGGCCUAAGAAUUUCUUGACUCCUUAAACCAACAGUCAGUGGCAUCAGCUCCUCUCACCUAAUAACUGUGGUAUUAGUUCGGCUCUUACUUUGUGCCAAGCAUAGCAGUAAACUCUCUAAUCCUGUCUCCACCACUUAUCUGCUGAGUGACAUUGGGUAAGUCCUUUAACUACUCUGUGCCACAGUUACCUCAUCUGUAAAAUGGGAAUUAAGACUUUGAACCCCAUGUGGGAUGUGGACUGUGUCCAACUUGAUUAGCUUGUAAUAAUAAUAAUAAUAAUGAUGGCAUUUGUUAAGCACUCACUAUGCGCCAAGCACUGUUCUAAGCACCGGAGUAGAUACCAGGUAAUCAGGUUGUCCCGCGUGAGGCUCACAGUCUUAAUCCCCAUUUUACAGAUGAGGAAACUGAGGCGCAGAGAAGUUAAGUGACUUGCCCAAAGUCACAUAGCUGACAAGUGGCAGAACUGGGAUUAGAACCCAUGACCUCUGACUCCCAAACCUGGGUUCCUUCCACUAAGCCAUGCCGGUUCUUGUAUCUACCCCAGUGCUUAGUACAGUGCCUGGCACAUAGUAAGUGCUUAACAAAUAUUAAAAAAGGGUGCUGGGGUAGAUAUAAGAUAAUCAGGUGGGACAAAGUAACCAUUCAUUCGUACUUAUUGAGCGCUUACUGUGUCCAGAUAACUGUACUAAGCUCUUGGGAAAGUACAAUACAACAAUAAAAAGACAUAUUCCCUGCCCGCAAAGAGCAUGCAGUCUAGAGAGACAAAAAGACAUAAUAUAAAUAAAUUACAGAUAUGCACAUACAUGCUGAAGGGCUGGGUAGAG
RNAcentral lists this long non-coding RNA (4696 nucleotides) under Ornithorhynchus anatinus (platypus). RNAcentral's name for it is "lncRNA (ENSOANG00000039276.1)". Lineage: Eukaryota; Metazoa; Chordata; Mammalia; Monotremata; Ornithorhynchidae. The record is from RNAcentral.